UAUUUACCAAUUACACUAUAUACAAAAGGAAAAAAAAAGAAUAACAAACUAGAUCAAUAUAACAGCACACACUAUUGAUAACUGCUUAAAGACGUAUUUAAAUAGAUAAGUACUAGUUUUCGAUUUCGAUUAACCUCUUGAAAGUAUAAAUCGUAGGAGCACUCUUGGCAUCAUAAGACAGACUAUUCCAUAAGUUAGCUCCUCUAUAUUUAAAACUCCUUUUUAGAAAUUCUUUUUUAGGUUUUGGAAUUGAGAGGUCAGUAUCAUAUCCUCUCAAAUUAUAAACAUUAUGGUCACUCCGUGCAGAAAAUGUUUCGCGAAGGCACGGGGCUGUGCCAUUUCUAAGGAUGUUGUAUACCAUAACCGCCUUGUUGAAUUUAAAUCUGGUAUCGAGAUUUUUCCAAUUGAGCCAUUCAAGGAGUUCAGAGGAAUUGGUAUCAUAGUUUGCUCCCGUCAGAACCCUUGCUGCUCUAUUUUGGAAUCUUUGCAAUUUUUGUUUUAGUAACACCCCACAAUUAUCCCAAAGGGGAGAGCAAUAAUCAAAAUAUGGUUGAAUUAAUGCUUUGUAGAUGGUGUGCAAGAUCUCAUUUGGGACAAAUGAUCUAGUACGUUUUAAUAUUCCAAUUCCUUUGUUAAUUCAUAAUGUUUUAAUAUUCCAAUUCCAAUUCAUAACGUUUUAAUAUUCCAAUUCCUUAGUUAAUUCAUUUGUUUAACCAAUCCAUUGAGGCAUAAAAUAAACCGAUCAACAUUCCCAAUUUAACUAAGGUUAUUAUUUUGAUUUGAUAGUAAAUCUACUCUAUAUUGUCUUUUAAAAUCGCUGGUCGUUCGUAAUUUCUUUAAGGAAACUGUAAUGUUCUCCCAUGACACUGAAGUAUAUAUAGAGUACGUGAAAGUACAUUUUGUCAACAUUUCUUAUUUUUGGCCUGUAAUAGUUGCACUGAUCUUUCUACAUGGCUUGUAUUGAAAUUAUUACAACAAAUUCCCAGUACUAGUUAUUUACAAGUUUAUAUUGUGGGAUUUCCGAUUUCAUUAAUCCAUUCAGUAUUUAUAUGUUAAUGACAACGUGGUCCAAAAUUCCACACAGCCUGUCUAACCCCGAGGUUUCAACUGAACAACCUAAUUUAGCUAAUUGUACAGACUACAAUCGUGGACAUAACUUGUUAAUAAAAUUUUAAUUUGCCUCUGUGAGAGUUUAAAUUCUAGUUUGAUUCCUGUAUGUUGUCUAAAAUAUCUUCCCCCGUCCCCCGAAGACAAUGUUGUUGAGAAUAUUGGCAACAUUAGGUGUGGGAAAGGGGGGAAACCUAAUUAAGUU
Non-coding RNA from Paramuricea clavata, 1312 nucleotides. NCBI's taxonomy places the organism in Eukaryota, Metazoa, Cnidaria, Anthozoa, Malacalcyonacea, Plexauridae. The record is from the annotation of a GenBank genome assembly.